This 21-nucleotide small nuclear RNA is filed under the name Arabidopsis thaliana (thale cress). RNAcentral's name for it is "snRNA_01283". Lineage: Eukaryota; Viridiplantae; Streptophyta; Magnoliopsida; Brassicales; Brassicaceae. The record is from RNAcentral.
AAUAUGUUGUGUAUUGGUCAU